UACAGAGGGGGCUAGCGUUAUUCGGAAUUAUUGGGCGUAAAGGGCGCGUAGGCGGCCAUGCGUGUCUUCCGUGAAAUCCCUCGGCUUAACUGAGGACGUGCGGAAGAAACUGCAAGGCUCGAGUCCGGGAGAGGGGGGUGGAAUUCCCAGUGUAGCGGUGAAAUGCGUAGAUAUUGGGAGGAACACCGGUGGCGAAGGCGGCAUCCUGGACCAACACUGACGCUGAGUGAGCGAAAGCCAGGGGAGCAAACGGG
This 254-nucleotide ribosomal RNA is filed under the name uncultured bacterium. RNAcentral's name for it is "partial 16S ribosomal RNA". It matches the Rfam family "Bacterial small subunit ribosomal RNA", at positions 524 to 776 of the family's 1533-position model. The record is from RNAcentral.